GGUAUAGCUCAGUGGUAGAGCACAUGCUUAGCAUGCACAAGGUCCUGGGUUCAAUCCCCAGUACC
RNAcentral lists this transfer RNA (65 nucleotides) under Camelus bactrianus (Bactrian camel). It matches the Rfam family "tRNA". From Rfam's summary of the family: Transfer RNA (tRNA) molecules are approximately 80 nucleotides in length. Their secondary structure includes four short double-helical elements and three loops (D, anti-codon, and T loops). The record is from Rfam by way of RNAcentral. Lineage: Eukaryota; Metazoa; Chordata; Mammalia; Artiodactyla; Camelidae. RNAcentral also lists the same sequence under 2 other names.